Molecule: long non-coding RNA, 1241 nt
Organism: Drosophila serrata
Lineage: Eukaryota; Metazoa; Arthropoda; Insecta; Diptera; Drosophilidae
Source: RefSeq, a predicted model, not a curated record
CAACCAAAAAAAAAUAAAGAAGAAAAGAAGAGAAGAAAAAAAGUACAUGCAGCCACAAAAGGAGGCGACAGAGAGCGAUGGAAAGAGAGGAGGGGAAGAGCAUGAACCGCGUGAACGGAGCUAGGAGCAGGAGGGAAAAGCCAAACAACUGAAACUCGGAACGGAACGAGCAAAGAAAUGGGGCGAGAGCCGAUUGAAUGGUAAAAUGCAGGCAAGGAAGUAGAGGAAGAAGCAGAAGGGCCAUGGAAUAAAUGUGUAUUUAAAACGGAUUUGUCGCCGGCUUCCCAAAAAAAAAGAAAAACAGAAAGAAAACAAUAACAAUAACACAUGCAUCCCAUAAAUCGGAAAUCAGGAAUCUGAAUUCUGGAUCAUUAAAUCUGCAUACGCCCAUGACAAAAUACAAUUCCUGUACAUUUGAAAUGUAAACUAAAUGCAUAUCUUAAAUGGAUUUAAUUAAUUUUCUGGAAACCUAAAUAAUCGGAUAAAAAUACCUCAAAUUGUUAAACGGAAAAGUGAAGUUUCGGAGUAAAUUUAUGCAUGGAUUUAAAACAAAAACAAUCUCAAGACGUGGAAUCCACGAAAUUUUGGUGUAAGAGCAUCAAAGUAAAAUACAUACACUCUUUAUUUGCGCAAAAACUACAUCUUUUUAUUUGCGCAAAGCGAACUCUCGCUCUGUCGUCUGUUAAGAGAGCCGCUCGGCAGCCCUCGACUCUGUUCUGAACAGCCACCGAGAGAGAACUCUGUUAGCUUACGUUCGCCCGACAGCCAAAAGAGGCAGAAUUCUGUUAACUUACGCUCUUGCUCUCUCACUCAGCGCAGCUCUGUUAAUGAAUUUUACUUUCUACACGGGAACUCUACCCCAGAGGCGAGAAUUCGGACCCCGAGAAAUGAGAAUUCGACACCAUGUAUCUGUAAACGCGUAGAAUCACCAUUUUUUACGCGUACCGUGUAAAAUGUUAGCCAACAGCGAGUGUUUCAAGCGCUCAUACCGCCUAUACCAUUUUCCUCCUCGUCGCUGAUGCCAUUUUCGUUUCAACUUUCGUCGCAAGCGGUUCGUCGCUCCUACUUGGUGUGACUUUGUUGUUGACGCUCCGCGGCAGACGGAAAGCGGGAUUUCCCAAGGAAGUUCGAACAAACUGAAAUAUAAAAAAAAUUAAGUGAACGCCGGCUAAAACUGUUUCGCGAGUUCGGUUUCAAAACUACAAAGUCAAGUUAAAAAAAAAAAAAAAAACAAAAACAAA